UGAUAGGUUGGAUGUGGAAGUGCGGUGACGCAUGAAGCUGACCAAUACUAAUUGCUCGUGAGGCUUGACUAUACAACACCCAAGCAGUUG
Molecule: ribosomal RNA, 90 nt
Filed under: Acinetobacter bereziniae
Lineage: Bacteria; Pseudomonadati; Pseudomonadota; Gammaproteobacteria; Moraxellales; Moraxellaceae
Description: partial 23S ribosomal RNA
Rfam family: Bacterial large subunit ribosomal RNA (bases 1-72)
Source: RNAcentral